GAUGAACGCUGGCGGCGUGCUUAACACAUGCAAGUCGAACGGAAAGGCCCUGCUUUUGUGCGGUGCUCGAUUGGGGAACGGGUGAGUAUCACGUGUGUAUCCUGCCCUUCUCUUUCGGGUAACUUCACGAAACUGGGGCUAAUACCGGAUAGGAUCUCCUGCACCGUGGUGGGGAUUGGAAAGUUUCGGCUGUUGUGGAUGUACUCGCGGCUUAUCAGCUUGUUGGUGGGGUAGUGGCUUACCAAGGCUUUGACGGGUAGCCGGCCUGUGAGGGUGAACGGGCACCAUGGUCCUGCGGUAGGGACCAGUAUGGAAUGGGAGGCAGUGGGGGGAAACCUUACACAACGGGCGGGAGUGUGUUAUAGAGACCUUCGGUGCGUAAUGACCGCUUUUGGGGUAAGAACAGAUGUCGACUGAGACGAAGCGGUCGUGACGGUACCGAAUAAAGAAGCACCGGCUAACUACGUG
RNAcentral lists this ribosomal RNA (468 nucleotides) under uncultured bacterium. Its description in RNAcentral is "partial 16S ribosomal RNA". It matches the Rfam family "Bacterial small subunit ribosomal RNA", at positions 28 to 507 of the family's 1533-position model. The record is from RNAcentral.